UACGGGGGGGGCAAGCGUUGUUCGGAAUUACUGGGCGUAAAGGGUUCGUAGGUGGCUUGCUAAGUCAGACGUGAAAUCCCUCAGCUCAACUGGGGAACUGCGUCUGAGACUGGCGAGCUUGAGUGCAGGAGAGGAAUGCGGAAUUCCAGGUGUAGCGGUGAAAUGCGUAGAUAUCUGGAGGAACACCGGUGGCGAAGGCGGCGUUCUGGACUGCAACUGACACUGAGGAACAAAAGCCAGGGGAGCAAACGGG
RNAcentral lists this ribosomal RNA (253 nucleotides) under uncultured bacterium. RNAcentral describes it as "partial 16S ribosomal RNA". It matches the Rfam family "Bacterial small subunit ribosomal RNA", at positions 524 to 776 of the family's 1533-position model. The record is from RNAcentral.